GAGGGGACAGAUAGAAAGGAGGAGGGAGGGAGGGGAGAGUGCGAGAAGAUCUUGUUGAUUGCAGUUGUUGCUUAGGUUUCUCCCCCUCUUUUUUUUUUUUUUUUUUUUUUGAGAAGUGUUUGUGUGUGGGCCGAAAAACCGCGAGUGAUAACUUCGGGAGGAUGCAAAUCAGGCGCACUCAGCUCAGUCCCCACCGACCCAGCCCCGUCACCUCCGCCGGUGGCCUGCCCAGCGGCCUCCGUGUCCUCGGGGCGGCCCCCCCUCCCUGCUCCGGGACUCCUGUGUGGGAAGGCAACGCCGUCCGGUUCUUCACCGCACCUGGUCGUGCAUGGUGGCUCCGAUCACAACUCCUGGCCGCCUUGGCGCGCAGCCCCGCAUCGCUCGGCUCACGCUCCCGGCUGCCGGCGUCCAGCCCCACAGUCGCUCGACCUUCUUUUACUUUUCCUUUCUCCUUUUUUUUUUUUCCUUUUCCUUUUUCUUUUCCUUUUCGUUGUGGUGGCAAAUCUGGGUUUCCCUUCUCGUCUCCUUCCUCUCUUGUUUGGUUUUGUGGUGUGUGUGUGUGUGUAUGUUGUUUUCCCUUCCCCUCGUGCAACAGGAAAAGUCGAACGGGAGGGGACCGCUUGGAGAGCUUCAAAAUAAUGUCCUGGUGUCGCGGCUCCGGUAGGCCCGCGGCUGGAACAGUUCCGUGCGGCCCGCCGGCGGUCGCCGCCCUGCCCGCGGCUCCUGGCUGGCUUUCUCCCGGCGCGCGUCGUUCGAUUCCCGGGUCUCCCGGCCCAGCCGGCCGCCCUGGCGCGUCUCUCCCCAGCUCCAGCGACUCGGUCACUGCUCCUGGCUGUUGGCUGAGCUCUGGAAGCCCCCUCGCCUUAAUGCAGCGCCUGCCGACGUCACGGCGGCCGGUGGCCAAUCAGCGCCUCGCGGUCCCUCUGUAAACCAUUCUGCAUCCCCCGGCCGGGGAGAGUACGGGGAGACCGCGUUUAGAGGAUCAGUGGCGGCGGUACCCGAGGCCCCGCGCGGCGCGGGCGACUGGCGGCGAGGUGUCCCGGUCCCUUACGGCUCCGCUCGGCCGGCGCUGGCCGGCUCGGAUUUAGCCUCACACUUCCCCUGCGGACCCAGACACUUCCUGGAUCAAAUCUCCUUUUGCCCAGUGUUCGAACACCGCAGGAGGCGGUCGGAGCUGCUUGAAGGAAGAAAGGAAAGAGCAAGGUGUAGCUGAUUAGCAAGUUAAUUAUUUCAGUACCCCAAGGGUUCCUGUGUGGUGGUAAGUUGUCCAGCCCUGGUGUAAUUUCACAGUCCAUGCAUUUCUUGGUGAGUACCUGGGGUGCCUGAGAAUGUCUGUCUCUCUCUCUCCUUUCUCUCUCUCCAUCCACCUGUCUUGUAUCUUCCUGACACACCUGAGAGCUGUAGGGGCUGGGAUGGGAAUUGGCCCAGGCUGAGGGUGCAAGAAGCCUACAUUGUGCCUUUUACUUCCAGAGUGCUUCCAUGCUACCUUUGUCUUCUUUAAAAA
This is a long non-coding RNA of Perognathus longimembris pacificus (Pacific pocket mouse), 1504 nucleotides long. RefSeq lists it as uncharacterized. Lineage: Eukaryota; Metazoa; Chordata; Mammalia; Rodentia; Heteromyidae. The transcript is spliced from 3 exons. The record is from RefSeq and is a predicted model, not a curated record.